Molecule: ribosomal RNA, 364 nt
Filed under: uncultured bacterium
Lineage: Bacteria
Description: partial 16S ribosomal RNA
Rfam family: Bacterial small subunit ribosomal RNA
Source: RNAcentral
AUACGUAGGGUGCAAGCGUUAAUCGGAAUUACUGGGCGUAAAGCGUGCGCAGGCGGUUUUGUAAGACAGAGGUGAAAUCCCCGGGCUCAACCUGGGAACUGCCUUUGUGACUGCAAGGCUAGAGGACGGCAGAGGGGGAUGGAAUUCCGCGUGUAGCAGUGAAAUGCGUAGAUAUGCGGAGGAACACCGAUGGCGAAGGCAAUCCCCUGGGCCUGUACUGACGCUCAUGCACGAAAGCGUGGGGAGCAAACAGGAUUAGAUACCCUGGCAGUCCACGCCCUAAACGAUGUCAACUGGUUGUUGGGUCUUCAUUGACUCAGUAACGAAGCUAACGCGUGAAGUUGACCGCCUGGGGAGUACGGCC